AAUUCGAUUAGUUUGAUCAUGGCUCAGGACGAACGCUGGCGGCGUGCUUAACACAUGCAAGUGGAGCGACGAACCAGGCUUCGGCCUGGGGCAAAGCCGCGAACGGGUGAGUAACACGUGGGUAACCUGCCCCAAUGACCGGGACAACUCGGGGAAACUCGAGCUAAUACCGGAUGUGCCUUCUUCACAUCAGUGAAGAAUGGAAAGGAAGCUUCGGCCUCCGCGUUGGGAUGGGCCCGCGGCCCAUUAGCUUGUUGGUGAGGUAACGGCUUACCAAGGCUUCGAUGGGUAGCUGGUCUGAGAGGACGAUCAGCCACACUGGGACUGAGACACGGCCCAGACUCCUACGGGAGGCAGCAGUGGGGAAUCUUGCGCAAUGCGCGAAAGCGUGACGCAGCAACGCCGCGUGGGGGAAGACGGCCUUCGGGUUGUAAACCCCUUUCAGGAGGGACGAAGCCAAGACGGUGAAUAGCCGAUUUUGGUGACGGUACCUCCAGAAGAAGCCCCGGCUAACUACGUGCCAGCAGCCGCGGUAAUACGUAGGGGGCAAGCGUUGUCCGGAAUCAUUGGGCGUAAAGAGCGUGUAGGCGGUCCGAUAAGUCGGCUGUGAAAGUCAAGGGCUCAACCCUUGAAUGCCGGCCGAUACUGUCGGGCUAGAGUCCGGAAGAGGCGAGUGGAAUUCCUGGUGUAGCG
This 693-nucleotide ribosomal RNA is filed under the name uncultured bacterium. RNAcentral's name for it is "bacterial SSU rRNA". It matches the Rfam family "Bacterial small subunit ribosomal RNA", at positions 1 to 680 of the family's 1533-position model. The record is from RNAcentral.